Molecule: unclassified non-coding RNA, 237 nt
Filed under: Usnea mutabilis
Lineage: Eukaryota; Fungi; Ascomycota; Lecanoromycetes; Lecanorales; Parmeliaceae
Description: partial contains 5.8S ribosomal RNA, internal transcribed spacer 2, and large subunit ribosomal RNA
Source: RNAcentral
CGCACAUUGCGCCCCUUGGUAUUCCGGGGGGCAUGCCUGUUCGAGCGUCAUUACAACCUUCAAGCUUAGCUUGGUAUUGGGCCUCGCUCCAUGGGGCGUGCCCGAAAAGCAGUGGCGGUCCGGCAUGACUUUGGACGUAGUAAAUAUAUCCUCGUUCUGAAAGUCAUGUCGUGACUCUGCCAAAAAUUCUCUCCUAAGAUUGACCUCGGAUCAGACAGGAAUACCCGCUGAACUUAA